AGGGAAGAGCCAGAAGUUGCAAAGUGCUAGAUCAUGUGAACAGGGUGAAUGAGGACACAUCACAAUGUUUUCAUGAGCCUGUUUUUCCAUUGGAUGGCAUGCAGCAGGAGCAGCCACUGCAUUUUCUCUCAUACCUCAUAAAAGAAACACAAAAGGGACUUCCAGAACUCCUCUAGAAAGUGGCAAGAAUAAAGAGGUUUUGCAUCUUGUUGUUGAAUCCCACUGCUUCAUCUUUCCUGGAUUUCAACUUCAAUCUGCUGAAGGACAUUGCAGAACAGCACAUUAGGAGAAAACGUUUGCCAAAAACCCUGCUCUGGAGAGGGCAAGACAAACCUGUAGUUAAGAGAACUAUGUCUGGAAAGAUCACCAAGGUUUUAGUCUGACCCACUGGUGAACAUCAGCAAUACUAUUCAAGCAAGGCCUCAGCUUCUGCAUUUGUGAAAUGGUCAUCACCAUGGCACCCACAAAAACUCUCUGUCACACAGAGGUGAAGACCCCAUCAGUUGACUCAUAAUACUGAGAACAAGACUGGGCACACAGUAAAUGUUCAACAAAGAGCUUUGCUUUUCCCUUUUGUGGCUAUUCCUAUGAUGAUAAAUUGUCAUGAUCACAUUGAAUUCUGUUUGUAUCAAAUGAUGUUCUUCAAGAAAAGGAAAUUUUUAAAUAUAUCUCUGAGAUGAAAUGGUCAGAGAGACAGGGUAUGAGCUAGUUCAGUAAUUCUAUGUUAAAGGUAUGAAAAAUAAUUAGUUGUCCAAACAGAUAAAGACACCAUUAUUAUUUGCACCAGAUUUCACUUUUUUUUUCAGAUUCUUGCUCUGGUAAACUGUAUGGUAUUAAACAAAUCAUUUAUUUACUUCAAGAUUUCAUUGCAGUGAUAUGGUCACUUUGGUCUAUGAGAUUUCAUAGAUCCUUUUUUUUUGUUGGUACUGGGGAUCGAACUCGGGUCCUUGCACUUGCGCCGCAGGCAGCAAAACCACUGAGCUAAAUCCCCAGCCCUCAUAGAUCCUUUUGAACAAUAAGAUUUCAAGAAUCUGUGUGCUAUAUAUCUAAAUUGAUGCUUACAGAGAGAUUGAGAUGAGUAGGGUCACUCUUACGGAAAAACUUGGGGAAAGUGGAUAAAGACUAUAAUAUUGGGUUCUAUAAGAUGAAUCCUUAACUCUCAGAGGAAAAUAGUAUGAUCAGGUUCUGUUUUACCCUAUGAUUUAUAUGUGAAUUACCUGUACUUGUCUUUGAAAAAUGGUGGUGAGAGCGAAAAGUUUUCUGCAUUCAUAGAGCUUACAAUUUACUGUGGAAGAAAAGGAAAUAAAGUAACUAAUCAAGAACAGGGGUGUGUAAUUCUAUAAACACCUCCAACACAAAAGCCAUGAGAACAGAAGGAAACAAGCAUUUUGAGGGGCCUGAAUUCAUUUGUCUGGUGAAAAGAAGAAAGAUAGAGGAGACACUAAAUGAGUCUGGUGGGGGUAGAGCCUUGGGACUCAUGAUUAAACAAAUGAGUUUUAAAAAAAUUUUUUAAAUUCACUGCUUUUUAAAAAGAAUAACUAUAGCAAAUAUUAGUUGAGUCCUCAGUAUGUACCAAUAUGCUUUCCUAAGUGCCUUUCAUGUAUUCCUGUAUGAAUUCAUUUUAUCCUUACAAUAACCCCAUGAGAUGGGAACUGUUACUAUCCUAUUUUAUAGACAAACAGCUGAUACAAAAAGAGUUUAGUUGACUUUCUAAAAAUCACAUGUCUAGAAAGUCUCCAAGCUAGAUUCAUUCCUAUGCAGUCUGGCUAUAAAAACCAUCCUCUGAAAUCAUGUGCUUUACAAGUAUGCUUCAUAGCCUGAAAGUUUCACGUGUUUGAUUUAUGUAAACUAAAACUUUUCCAGAGGUGAUUUUGACUCUUCUUUUCCCUACCUUGACAUGAUACAAUGUUACAUAAUGUUUGUCAAUGAAAUGAAGCCAAUAAGCAAAGAGGUUAUGAUAAUAUUUGAAAGACCACUUUUUAAAAGUGUAGGUAUCUUAGGUAGAUGAAUAGACGCAGAGAGAACAAUGAUCAAAACAAAUGAGAGAAAUGGAAAGGUGAUAAGCAAGGUGUCUUAGUCAACAUUCACAUCUACAACUUAAAAGAGGAGAGUUUCAAUUGGCUCAAUUUUGGGGAGAUUCAAUCUAUAAUGGGCUGGCUCCAAGGCAUAAAUAUCACAGCAACAGCACAUGGAAGAAAAAAUAUGUUCAGUUCAUGGCAGCCAGAAAUCAGAACAGAGGAAGAGGCUAGGGACUACAUAUGCCACCCAAGGUCCUGCCCAGACACACCCAGAAGUAUGCUUUACUAACCUAGGAGGCAUUUCUUACCCCAUGAUGUUGAUGAACCAGGAUAAAAUUUCAGGUAAGAUCACAGGAUUAACUGUCAUCUUCACACAUGAACACAUCUCCUUACACCAUGCUUAAUCUCCAUAUAAAGAGAGUAGUAAGUUUAUAAUUGUACCUAACACAAUGCAACUAUACCUCAUACAACCAGAAACACAAUAAUCCCUUUCCCAAAGUUUCAACAGUUCUAGAAUUUUUCAAAAGCCCAAGUCUAUAUCUCUUCUGAGACUCAAGGCCAAGUAUUAGCUAUGAACCUCUGCAAAAAUCAAAAACAAGUUACACAAUCCCUUAGUACAAUGUCUCAGGAUAAACAUUCCCAUUUCAAAACGGAGGAAUAGGACCAAAAGAAUUGGUCCAAAGCAAGAUUAAAAGCCAUCAGGACAGAUAUUAAAUUCUGUAGCACCAUUUCCAGUAUCUGGGGGCAUAUGUUGGUAAAAUUUGAGCACACAGAGAAUGGGUUCCCCUACUCUUAUGGCCUUGCCUGAUGACAUCCGUAAGGCCUAUCUCAGAAUGACUCUACUCAGAGCCUUCACGUUUCCUCUGUUCAUUUUCCACAUUCCUAGAAUUCCUGACUUUGUGAGGGUUCCUUUGCACUUUCAGCUUCAUUCCCAUGGCUUCAUGCAUUGUCCUCUCAGCAGCUCCUUGCCUGAAUUCCCAGGAAUUCUUUGGAAAUAUUGGUGGAAGACUCCUUGAUCCACAGUUCUUGUAUUCUAUAUGCCAGUAAGACCACCAUCCUAUGAACAAUUCCAAGAUCUUCUGGGAGCAGAAGCAGUAGCCACACUCCCAUGGACAGUGGCUGCAGCAGCCUCUGAGUUUCAAUGGGUGCUGAACAUGUGAAAUGAAUCCCUGGGAAUGAAUUCCCUAAGUGACCUUUAUCAAGCAGGGGUCACAGAGAUGCUUAUCUCAAAUGAAAUAGUAACAGUUUUGCAUCUUUAAGCCUGCUAUCUGUGUGAAGUUUCUGAUUCUUGAGAUGCCCAAGAAGCAUCUUUCUUCAUACCCCUAUAUUAAGUACUUAGUUUCUUUUUAAUGGUUCAAUUUUAAAUUCUUUAGCAUCCAUGCCUCCUUUGUUCCCAGCUUUAUAUAUGGUUUGUUUGAAGCCAAAAUUCAUGUGUUUCAAAUUUUUCUGCUCUUUAGCCCCUAAUUCUUACUACACAUCUGGCUCAAAGUAGCUCCUAGUACCCAUGACACAGUCUGAACCUUAGGCUGUCUUAAAAUUUCCUCUACAAGAUUAAUUAGUUCAAUGCCCUUAAUCUCCUGCAAAGUCUCAGGAUAUCGAUAAAACAAAGACAAAUUUUCUUCUGGAGUGUAAUGCACAUGCCCUCUACUCCAAUUGCCAAUCAAAUCCUUGUUCUAAACUGAAACUUCCUGAGCCUGAUCUUUACCAUCUGAAUCCCUCUCAGCAUUCUAGCCUUCUAAACACUCACCAGAAUAGCCUACCAAGCUAUUUUUACAGCAUUCUGAAUCUUCUCUAGCCAGUUUCUCCAAACCUUCCCACAAUCUUUCUGAAAACCUAUCCUAAUUGUUUUUAAACCACAUGAUCAGAUAUAGUCACAUCAAUGAGCCCACUUCUCUUGUACUAGUUUUCUGUAUUAGUCAGAUUUCCUAUAACUAGGAUAGAAUACCUGACAUCCACAACUUAAAGGGGAGAAUUUUAUUUGGCUCAUUGUUCAGGGGAUUUAAUCCAUGUUCAGUUGGCUGCAAGGCAGAAAUAGUACAGAAGCACAUGACAAAAUAAAACUGCUCAGUUCAUGGCAACCAGAGAGCAAGACUCUCUCUCUCCUGCUCUAGCAGCCUGAUCUAGAUCCACUUAGUGAACAUUUACCAGUUUUAGUGAACAGCAGAGUCCAUAUCCACAAUGUAAUUGUUUCUAGCCUGUCUGGUAGUGAAUGGCCUGACUUCCAUAGCAUACAUGUCCAUGGUAAAAACUAAAUUUGUUGGGACCCAGUUGUGUUAGAAACAUAUCCCCUAUCAUUAUUAUUAUUAUUUUUAAGUGACAGAGACUGUCAUUCCUUGUGAUUAAGCCUCUUUUAUAUACCAUUGUGCAAGUAACUCAAGGUAGGGGCUGACUAUUUGUUCCAGAACAUUUCUGGAUGUUUUUUCCUGUAGGAAAGAUAUAA
Heterocephalus glaber (naked mole-rat) is the source of this 4458-nucleotide long non-coding RNA. RefSeq lists it as uncharacterized. The record is from RefSeq and is a predicted model, not a curated record. NCBI's taxonomy places the organism in Eukaryota, Metazoa, Chordata, Mammalia, Rodentia, Bathyergidae.